CAGCAGCCGCGGUAAUACGUAGGGUGCGAGCGUUAAUCGGAAUUACUGGGCGUAAAGCGAGCGCAGACGGUUACUUAAGCAGGAUGUGAAAUCCCCGGGCUCAACCUGGGAACUGCGUUCUGAACUGGGUGACUAGAGUGUGUCAGAGGGAGGUAGAAUUCCACGUGUAGCAGUGAAAUGCGUAGAGAUGUGGAGGAAUACCGAUGGCGAAGGCCGCCUCCUGGGAUAACACUGACGUUCAUGCUCGAAAGCGUGGGUAGCAAACAGGAUUAGAUACCCCCGUAGUCCCUGUCUCUUAUAC
Molecule: ribosomal RNA, 301 nt
Filed under: uncultured bacterium
Lineage: Bacteria
Description: partial 16S ribosomal RNA
Rfam family: Bacterial small subunit ribosomal RNA
Source: RNAcentral